AUGCAGCUACCACCAGAUUGAUCAUAGGAACUUCAUAGGAAAAGAUCAAUCCUAAUGUUAAAUAAGAGCGAGAUGAAUUUAUUUUAAAUAGUUUAUCAGUGUGCAAGUUAACAUAGAUUAUGUACAAUCACAUUUUCAUUAAAUCAGCUGUUUAUUUCUGCAGAAAAUACCAUAUCAAGAGCAAGGAAAGCAAUGUGCCAGACUGUUCAAGGUCAAAGCAUACUCAAGCAACAAUGAAUAAGAUGGCAACUCACACCAUUCAAAUCAACAAUGUGGAUUUUGCUUUUUGAACUGUCCGGUAAACUGCUGUUUAUACUGCUCCCAGAUAUUAUCAUGUGUGUAGCUAUAUUUGUUAAAAAGCACUACACCUAAAGGUGAAUUUUCAUACCUUAGCCUAAAAAUGCAAAUAUAGUCUGGAAGACAUGCUAACCACAGAUCAGCCCCGUUUCUGAUAUGUUUCUAUGUAGGUUCAUUUUCUGUUAUCGCAGAUGCCUGCUAUUCUGACAGGUUAUGUGUAUAAUUUGCUUAUCAACACAUUCUUUCAUGAGGUACAUAUCUUGUUUGUAAUUUAAAUUACUAUUUUAAAAAUUAUGAGAAGGCAGAAUUUACAAAUUACAUGGAAAAAUGGCGAAACACUGCAGAGGAGCAAAGCAAUUAGUACACAAAUCACUAAGCGCAAGUGUGAAGGUAUAAGAAGUAAUCAAAAAGCCUAAUGAAAUGUCAGCAUUUAUCUUGAAGAGUUGGAUUACAGAAGUGAAGAGGUUGUGCUUCAUUUCUCCAAGCCCUUAGCCAAACUCCUCCUAGAAUUCUUGUUCAAUUUUGGGCAGUGAACCUCAUAAAGUCUUUGAACGUUUACAGCACUUGUUUGUUUGUAUUUUGGUUUUCUUUAAUAUUGAAAUAAUUUUGCUACACUGUACAUAAUUUUUUUCCAAAAGCUUUGUCAACGUUUUGAGAAAAGAUAAAAUUUAAUUUGUUAGUGAUCCAUUUAAUGCAUUCAUAAAACACAAGAAAACCUUAUGAACAAGCUAUAUUCAUAAUUAUGAAAGGCAGCCUAACUUGACACAGUGUUAACC
Molecule: non-coding RNA, 1073 nt
Organism: Chiloscyllium plagiosum (whitespotted bambooshark)
Lineage: Eukaryota; Metazoa; Chordata; Chondrichthyes; Orectolobiformes; Hemiscylliidae
Source: RefSeq, a predicted model, not a curated record